AUCGCUUCUCGGCCUUUUGGCUAAGAUCAAGUGUAGUAUCUGUUCUUAUCAGUUUAAUAUCUGAUACGUCCUCCAUCCGGGGACUACAUAUUAAAUGGAUUUUUAGAUCACGGAGCUGGAGCCGGGGCUUGCUCCGUCCACUCCAUGCAUCGGCCUGGUAUUGUAGUGUCUCCAGGAACGGUGUGCUUUCC
Molecule: small nuclear RNA, 191 nt
Organism: Carassius auratus (goldfish)
Lineage: Eukaryota; Metazoa; Chordata; Actinopteri; Cypriniformes; Cyprinidae
Gene: U2
Rfam family: U2 spliceosomal RNA
About the family: U2 is a small nuclear RNA (snRNA) component of the spliceosome (involved in pre-mRNA splicing).
Source: Ensembl